RNAcentral lists this ribosomal RNA (467 nucleotides) under uncultured bacterium. Its description in RNAcentral is "partial 16S ribosomal RNA". It matches the Rfam family "Bacterial small subunit ribosomal RNA", at positions 28 to 506 of the family's 1533-position model. The record is from RNAcentral.
GACGAACGCUGGCGGCGUGCUUAACACAUGCAAGUCGAACGGAAAGGCCCUGCUUUUGUGGGGUGCUCGAGUGGCGAACGGGUGAGUAACACGUGAGUAACCUGCCCUUGACUUUGGGAUAACUUCAGGAAACUGGGGCUAAUACCGGAUAGGAGCUCCUGCUGCAUGGUGGGGGUUGGAAAGUUUCGGCGGUUGGGGAUGGACUCGCGGCUUAUCAGCUUGUUGGUGGGGUAGUGGCUUACCAAGGCUUUGACGGGUAGCCGGCCUGAGAGGGUGACCGGCCACAUUGGGACUGAGAUACGGCCCAGACUCAUACGGGAGGCAGCAGGGGGGAAUAUUGCACAAUGGGCGGAAGCCUGAUGCAGCAACGCCGCGUGCGGGAUGACGGCCUUCGGGUUGUAAACCGCUUUCGCCUGUGACGAAGCGUGAGUGACGGUAAUGGGUAAAGAAGCACCGGCUAACUACGU